Molecule: non-coding RNA, 29 nt
Filed under: Mus musculus (house mouse)
Lineage: Eukaryota; Metazoa; Chordata; Mammalia; Rodentia; Muridae
Source: RNAcentral
UGCUUCUUGUGUGUCUCUUUGCAANAUAA